Molecule: long non-coding RNA, 3566 nt
Filed under: Manihot esculenta (cassava)
Lineage: Eukaryota; Viridiplantae; Streptophyta; Magnoliopsida; Malpighiales; Euphorbiaceae
Description: long non-coding RNA (MESC_LNC009125)
Source: RNAcentral
AGAGUAUUAGAAUGACAGCAUAUGAAUUAGGGCAGAAAGCAUAAACCAAAUCACUAAAGAUAGUAAUUCAGCCUAAACAAGAAUUUAGGGUAAAAUUUGAUUUGAACAACAACCAAACAAUGUAUUCGGCUCUAAUAGGUAUCCCAAACCAGAUUUCCAAAGUGAUAUAUUCAGCCAAUAAUGAACAAAAUUGAAUGCAAAGACGCAAAGGAUAGUUAAGAAAUUAUUACUAAGCCUAGCUCUGAUACCAAUUGAUGCGGAACCCCAGCCUAUUAGAGACUGAAACGACACAUACCCUAGUAAAAAGAACUUAAUUCAGAAUUUGAAUUGUCAAUAAGGACACAUUUGGCCUAAUUGACUUGGAAUGGCCAGAUUGUUCUUCAACUUCAAAAUGAACUUGCAAAGCUUCAACAUAUUCCUUCAUGAAUCCUUGAAGUGCUUCCUUCAACCUCUUGGAUCUCAGCCUUGUAAUUGGUCCUUGAGGCAAUGCUAGCUCAUCAUUUUUGGUGUUGUUGGUCGUGCUUACAUCAGUAAGGAUUAGGGUGUUUAAUAGUUUCUAGUCCUAAUUUAUCAACUAAAAUAGUACUAGCACAAUUAACUUGACUACCCGAAUCUAUUAUCAUGCUACAGACUUUACCACCAACCAAACAACGAGUGUGAAAGAUGUUUUCACGCUGUUCAAGUCCCUCUUCUUUAAUAGAAACAUUUAAAGUACGCAAUAUCACUAAGGACUCUCCUUGAACAGGAUACUCUUCUAUCUCUACAUCAGAACAAUCUUCUAAAGGUGGUACUUCAUCAGAAUCAGAAUCACUUUCGGAGACUAUCUCAUCUCCCCUCACUACCAUAGCACGUUUAUUAGCACACUCAUUGGCAUAAUGCCCACGCCCUUUACAUUUAAAGCACUGAAUAUCUCUAGUUCUAUUUGAUUUAGGGGCUGAUUCAUUUUUACCAUGAGAGUUGGAUGUUUCUUGGGAAGGUAACAUGCCUUUUUGAGUUGAAGACUUUUCAAACCUUUUAGGAUCAGGCUUGGUGUUCCAUUUGGAACCCCAUUUGCUGUUGGAGUUUUGAGCAGCCCUGUUGCUCCCCCAUCUAUUUCGGCCUCUUUGUCUUUCCACCUUAAUUGCAAUGUUCACCAAGUCUUCCAAAUCAACAUAUGGUUGCAAAUCAACCACAUCAGCAAUCUCCUUGUUUAGACCACCAAAGAAACGAGCCAUAGUCUGGUCUUCCUCCUCCACUAUGUUUGCUUUGAUCAGGAGCAACUCCAUCUCCUUAUGAUACUCAUCAACAGACUUUGAUCCCUGAGUUAAUCUUUGCAAUUGAUGAUGGAGAUCUCUAUGGUAAUAAGUAGGCACAUAUUUCUUCCUCAUGAUUCGCUUCAUCUCAUCCCAACUAGCAAUGGGUAACUCUCCAUUCCUUCUCCUAGAUUUCACAAGCUCAUCCCACCAUAUUAGUGCAUAAUCUGAAAACUCAAGGGCAGCAAGUUUUACCUUUUUAUCAUCGGAAUAGUUUUGACAGUUAAAAACCAUCUCCACUUUACGCUCCCACUCUAAAUAGGCAUCAACAUCAGCCUUACCAUUGAAGCUUGGAAUCUUCAUCUUUAUGGAGUUCAUACUGUUAUCUACAUAUGAUACACGAUCAUUGAACCUUCUGCCUCGGACAGGGGCUGAUUGUGCCUCAUUUUCCUCAUCAUAGGAUGGAUCGUGUGUAUCAUCAUCCCUCUGAAUGGACUUGCCCUUUGAAGAUCUAAGGUUGUCCUCAAGGUUAUCCAUUCUCGAAUUUAGCUUCUGAAAGCUAUCCAUGAAAGCUUUAUAUAUAUCUUUAAGAUCAAAUGUAGGGUCAGAAGUAUCACCAGUAUUAUGCCCAGACAUUAUAGAAAAAAAAUUCACAAUUCUCUCAACUCACGUGUUUAAUUUUCAAGCACUCACUUGGUAUCUCAAAAGUGCACUUCAGAAUAAGGACUCAAUAAGCCAAGCUUGUAUGAUUCAAAUAAUAAGGAAAGCAAGGAAAGACCUAAGAAGAAAAGAUAGGAAACAACAAUAGAUGCAAACUGACCAAAAUGAACAAAUAGAUUGAUUUAGCACACAAAAGUUAAAUUUCGUGUACUAAGUGUAAUUAGAUGUUCAACAAUGUGCAAUUUGUCAAACUAAAUGUAAGGAACCAACAGACAGGAAGACACCAAAUUGACAAACUAAGAAUCAAAAAUUGACAAGACGGAUGUGCUUAACACGAAGUUUUCCCUAAGCAUGCAAUCCUAGGUUAACUGAUAUUAAUAUUGACUCAACAAAAUUAAUUCAAAGCAAGCAAACAAAAUAGACACUUAAAACAGCAAGUAUUAAGCACAACUGUUUUGUGAAAAUACUACCCAAAUUUGUCCUAAACCUACCCCAAAUAUGUAUUUCGAAUUCCAAGCCCAGAAAUAUGUUCAAGGUAUAUGAAAUAUGAUUUAUAUCAGUAGAUAUCAAUCAGGAUGAAGUUUGAACAAAUGAACCAAAGUGGCAGAAAUUCUUUUUUUUUUCCUUUUUUUUUUCUUCUUAUUUUGAUUUUUUUUUUUAUGGACAGAAGUAAAACACUGGAAAUACUAUUCUAAGAGUAUUAGAAUGACAGCAUAUGAAUUAGGGCAGAAAGCAUAAACCAAAUCACUAAAGAUAGUAAUUCAGCCUAAACAAGAAUUUAGGGUAAAAUUUGAUUUGAACAACAACCAAACAAUGUAUUCGGCUCUAAUAGGUAUCCCAAACCAGAUUUCCAAAGUGAUAUAUUCAGCCAAUAAUGGACAAAAUUGAAUGCAAAGACGCAAAGGAUAGUUAAGAAAUUAUUACUAAGCCUAGCUCUGAUACCAAUUGAUGCGGAACCCCAGCCUAUUAGAGACUGAAACGACACAUACCCUAGUAAAAAGAACUUAAUUCAGAAAAUAAUUCCCCAAUCUAAAGCACCCUUAAUUAACAUGCAAUUAAGAACACUUAUAAUGGAUUGAUUUCAAGAGCAGCAAGAAUAAGAAACAUACAAGUUAGUAUCAAACCUUAUUCGUGAUGCAAUGUCAAGAACCAAGAUCUCUCUUAAGCUCUCAAAGAAGAAUCGCAUAAAGCAAUUGUAUUGAAUAAUUGAUAAUCUGUGUCUACAAUAGAAAAAUGGAUGCUUUAUAUAGCCUAAAUUAAGACCCAUGAUCUUUGCCACUUCCCACUACUAUACCUGGACCCAUGAUCUUUGCCACUAACCACAACUAUACAUGGACCCAUGAUCUAUGCCACUAUCCACUACUAGGUAACCACCCACUACUGUUUAACUACCCACUACCAAAUAACUACCCACUACUGGUUAACUACCAACUACUAAAUGACUACCCACUAUAAAUACAGAAUUUGAAUUGUCAAUAAGGACACAUUUGGCCUAAUUGACUUGGAAUGGCCAGAUUGUUCUUCAACUUCAAAAUGAACUUGCAAAGCUUCAACAUAUUCCUUCAUGAAUCCUUGAAGUGCUUCCUUCAACCUCUUGGAUCUCAGCCUUGUAAUUGGUCCUUGAGGCAAUGCUAGCUCAUCAUUUUUGGUGUUGUUGGUCGUGCUUACAUCAUU